RNAcentral lists this ribosomal RNA (220 nucleotides) under uncultured bacterium. RNAcentral's name for it is "partial 16S ribosomal RNA". It matches the Rfam family "Bacterial small subunit ribosomal RNA", at positions 111 to 334 of the family's 1533-position model. The record is from RNAcentral.
UAAUGUCUGGGAAACUGCCUGAUGGAGGGGGAUAACUACUGGAAACGGUAGCUAAUACCGCAUAAUGUCGCAAGACCAAAGUGGGGGACCUCCGGGCCUCAUGCCAUCAGAUGUGCCCAGAUGGGAUUAGCUAGUAGGUGGGGUAACGGCUCACCUAGGCGACGAUCCCUAGCUGGUCUGAGAGGAUGACCAGCCACACUGGAACUGAGACACGGUCCAG